Molecule: ribosomal RNA, 305 nt
Filed under: uncultured bacterium
Lineage: Bacteria
Description: bacterial SSU rRNA
Rfam family: Bacterial small subunit ribosomal RNA
Source: RNAcentral
ACGCCUACGGGACGCAGUAGUGGGGAAUAUUGCACAAUGGGGGAAACCCUGAUGCAGCGACGCCGCGUGAGUGAAGAAGUAUCUCGGUAUGUAAAGCUCUAUCAGCAGGAAAGAUAAUGACGGUACCUGACUAAGAAGCCCCGGCUAACUACGUGCCAGCAGCCGCGGUAAUACGUAGGGGGCAAGCGUUAUCCGGAUUUACUGGGUGUAAGGGGUGCGUAGACGGGAAUACAAGUUGGUUGUGAAAGCCCUCGGCUUAACUGAGGAACUGCAACCAAAACUAUAUUUCUUGAGUAUCGGAGAGG